RNAcentral lists this ribosomal RNA (253 nucleotides) under uncultured bacterium. RNAcentral describes it as "partial 16S ribosomal RNA". It matches the Rfam family "Bacterial small subunit ribosomal RNA", at positions 524 to 776 of the family's 1533-position model. The record is from RNAcentral.
GACGUAGGAGGCGAGCGUUGUCCGGAUUCAUUGGGCGUAAAGAGCGCGCAGGCGGCUUGGUAAGUCGGAUGUGAAAUCCCGAGGCUCAACCUCGGGUCUGCAUCCGAUACUGCCCGGCUAGAGGUAGGUAGGGGAGAUCGGAAUUCCUGGUGUAGCGGUGAAAUGCGCAGAUAUCAGGAGGAACACCGGUGGCGAAGGCGGAUCUCUGGGCCUUACCUGACGCUCAGGCGCGAAAGCGUGGGGAGCGAACAGG